AAAACACUAACGAACGCUGGCGGCAGGCUUAACACAUGCAAGUCGAGCGCAUCGCAAGAUGAGCGGCAGACGGGUGAGUAACGCGUGGGAAUCUACCGUGCCCUACGGAAUAGCUCCGGGAAACUGGAAUUAAUACCGUAUACGCCCUUCGGGGGAAAGAUUUAUCGGGGUAUGAUGAGCCCGCGUUGGAUUAGCUAGUUGGUGGGGUAAAGGCCUACCAAGGCGACGAUCCAUAGCUGGUCUGAGAGGAUGAUCAGCCACAUUGGGACUGAGACACGGCCCAA
This 284-nucleotide ribosomal RNA is filed under the name uncultured bacterium. Its description in RNAcentral is "partial 16S ribosomal RNA". It matches the Rfam family "Bacterial small subunit ribosomal RNA", at positions 29 to 334 of the family's 1533-position model. The record is from RNAcentral.